CAUGACACCUACUCGCUCGACGUCGUAUCGCUGAAACGACCGGGUGGUGAGGUGGCAUACC
Molecule: microRNA precursor, 61 nt
Filed under: Caenorhabditis remanei
Lineage: Eukaryota; Metazoa; Nematoda; Chromadorea; Rhabditida; Rhabditidae
Description: microRNA crm-mir-7613 precursor
Source: miRBase by way of RNAcentral